This 372-nucleotide ribosomal RNA is filed under the name uncultured bacterium. RNAcentral's name for it is "bacterial SSU rRNA". It matches the Rfam family "Bacterial small subunit ribosomal RNA", at positions 525 to 896 of the family's 1533-position model. The record is from RNAcentral.
ACGGAGGGUGCAAGCGUUGUUCGGAAUUAUUGGGCGUAAAGGGCGCGUAGGCGGUAAUGAAAGUCAGAUGUGAAAUACUUCGGCUCAACUGAAGAACUGCAUCUGAAACUUCAUAACUAGAGUACGGAAGAGGGAAAUGGAAUUCCCGGUGUAGAGGUGAAAUUCGUAGAUAUCGGGAGGAACACCAGUGGCGAAGGCGAUUUCCUGGUCUGGUACUGACGCUGAGGCGCGAAAGUGUGGGGAGCAAACAGGAUUAGAUACCCUGGUAGUCCACACUGUAAACGGUGAACACUAGGUGUGGGAGGUGUAAUACCUUCUGUGCCGCAGCUAACGCGAUAAGUGUUCCGCCUGGGAAGUACGGCCGCAAGGUUG